Molecule: long non-coding RNA, 296 nt
Organism: Schistocerca gregaria
Lineage: Eukaryota; Metazoa; Arthropoda; Insecta; Orthoptera; Acrididae
Exons: 4
Source: RefSeq, a predicted model, not a curated record
CCUUCACCGACAACGACUCGGCUCUGCGAUCUGCUACAGAUCCAGGUAUUGGAGGACAAGAUGAAGCUCACCUCAAUGCAGGCUGAAUUGAACGAACGACUGGUAGAAUGCUCCGAGCUGAAAAGCCUCAAGCCCGGAAAAAGCUGCUAUCAAAUGCGGGGUCGCAUCUUGUUUCUAGCCGACGGAAAAAGUGUCUUAGCCUCGAAAAACGCCAGUCUAGAAGCCCUACAGAAGGAAAUCAAGAACACUGAACAAAACAUACUGGCCGAUCUGGCUCGCGCGGCCAAACUCGUGGA